AGGAUCGACCGGAGGAUUUGGCCUUUCCCAUGACCUUUAUUGGCCGGCAUGACUGCGUUGGUGCCGAUGCCACGGGUGUGGGUGGACCG
RNAcentral lists this non-coding RNA (89 nucleotides) under Thalassiosira antarctica. Lineage: Eukaryota; Bacillariophyta; Thalassiosirophyceae; Thalassiosirales; Thalassiosiraceae. The record is from RNAcentral.